UCGAGCGACGACGCGGCACUGUGUGAAGAGUUGCAGGAAGUAGGCAGUUCCAGUCAUGCAAGCAAAAGUGAUGGCUCCCGUUUUUGUAGCAUUCGUCGUGGCUGUGGCAGCCAUCUCGGCGGUCGCUCCUCAAGAACGCCUGGACUGCCCUGCCGUGGACGACAAGGGAGACAACGCCACCUACCUACCAAACCUGUACAACUGCUCCCAAUUCUACGUUUGUGCUCAGGGUGUCCCAGC
Rhipicephalus sanguineus (brown dog tick) is the source of this 240-nucleotide long non-coding RNA. RefSeq lists it as uncharacterized. NCBI's taxonomy places the organism in Eukaryota, Metazoa, Arthropoda, Arachnida, Ixodida, Ixodidae. The transcript has 3 exons. The record is from RefSeq and is a predicted model, not a curated record.